GACGAACGCUGGCGGCGUGCUUAACACAUGCAAGUCGAACGGUGAAGGGACCGGUUUUUGCUGGUUCUGGAUGAGUGGCGAACGGGUGAGUAACACGUGAGUAACCUGCCCCCUUCUUCUGGAUAACCGCAUGAAAGUGUGGCUAAUACGGGAUAUUCUGCGCCUGCUGCAUGGUGGGUGUGGGAAAGAUAUUGUUUCGGUGGGGGAUGGGCUCGCGGCCUAUCAGCUUGUUGGUAGGGUGAUGGCCUACCAAGGCGGUGACGGGUAGCCGGCCUGAGAGGGUGGACGGUCACACUGGGACUGAGACACGGCCCAGACUCCUACGGGAGGCAGCAGUGGGGAAUAUUGCACAAUGGGCGCAAGCCUGAUGCAGCGACGCCGCGUGAGGGAUGGAGGCCUUCGGGUUGUAAACCUCUUUCGCCAGUGAAGCAGGCCUGUCCCUUUUGUGGGUGGGUUGACGGUAGCUGGAUAAGAAGCGCCGGCUAACUACGUG
This 493-nucleotide ribosomal RNA is filed under the name uncultured bacterium. RNAcentral's name for it is "partial 16S ribosomal RNA". It matches the Rfam family "Bacterial small subunit ribosomal RNA", at positions 28 to 507 of the family's 1533-position model. The record is from RNAcentral.